Molecule: unclassified non-coding RNA, 467 nt
Filed under: Hevea brasiliensis (rubber tree)
Lineage: Eukaryota; Viridiplantae; Streptophyta; Magnoliopsida; Malpighiales; Euphorbiaceae
Source: RNAcentral
UUCUUGAGCACCUUUUCACUAAUGGAAUCAACAAAGCUUUUCUCCUCCCCACAGCAAACUCCACGGCAACAGUUUUCCACCAGGAAACCGUGCUGUCGGCGACUAAGCAUAGCCAUGGCCUUUAAUAAACGAGACCAUAACGAUCAUGGUAGCCUUGUGGAUGAUAACAUGAUUGUACUGAGAGUACGUAUGAGGGAGAUGAAGAUGAUGGAGGAAUUUGAUUAUCCACCUUCCCAUUGGAUGGAGUGGGAGAAGCAAUAUUAUGCGCACCAUAACUACAAUACUGAUAUUUGUGAAGCUGUAGGUCUGCUACAAAAUUUCUUGAUGAAUAUCAGGCCAAGUCUGGCUUUAGGGAUUCUAGCACUUCUUUCCACUUGUGUGCUCAUCUCUACUGGGGUGGUUUUCUCCCAUGCCAUAGAGAUCACUAAGAGAAUUUUGUCUGGGUUUCAUCUUGGCUAAUAUCCAUG